GAUCAUGGCUCAGGAUGAACGCUAGCUACAGGCUUAACACAUGCAAGUCGAGGGGCAGCAUUUUAGUUUGCUUGCAAACUGAAGAUGGCGACCGGCGCACGGGUGAGUAACACGUAUCCAACCUGCUGAUAACUCCGGAAUAGCCUUUCGAAAGAAAGAUUAAUACCGGAUGGCAUACGAAUAUCGCAUGAUAUUUUUAUCAAGAAUUUCGGUUAUCGAUGGGGAUGCGGUU
Molecule: ribosomal RNA, 232 nt
Filed under: uncultured bacterium
Lineage: Bacteria
Description: partial 16S ribosomal RNA
Rfam family: Bacterial small subunit ribosomal RNA
Source: RNAcentral